ACGCUCGACACCUACGGGAGGGGCAGCAGUCGGGAAUAUUGCGCAAUGGAGGAAACUCUGACGCAGUGACGCCGCGUAUAGGAAGAAGGUUUUCGGAUUGUAAACUAUUGUCGUUAGGGAAGAAAAAAGACAGUACCUAAGGAGGAAGCUCCGGCUAACUACGUGCCAACAGCCGCGGUAAUCUGAGCGGGCUGGCAAGGC
RNAcentral lists this ribosomal RNA (201 nucleotides) under uncultured bacterium. RNAcentral describes it as "partial 16S ribosomal RNA". It matches the Rfam family "Bacterial small subunit ribosomal RNA", at positions 328 to 539 of the family's 1533-position model. The record is from RNAcentral.